CCUACGGGAGGCAGCAGUCGAGAAUUUUUGACAAUGGGGGAAACCCUGAUCGAGCGACGCCGCGUGGAGGAUGAAGGUCUUCGGAUUGUAAACUCCUGUCAUUGGGGAACAAUGCGCUUUCGUUAACUGCGUGAGCGUUGAUAGUACCCGAAGAGGAAGAGACGGCUAACUCUGUGCCAGCAGCCGCGGUAAU
RNAcentral lists this ribosomal RNA (193 nucleotides) under uncultured Actinomycetes bacterium. RNAcentral's name for it is "uncultured actinobacterium partial 16S ribosomal RNA". It matches the Rfam family "Bacterial small subunit ribosomal RNA", at positions 338 to 524 of the family's 1533-position model. The record is from RNAcentral. Lineage: Bacteria; Bacillati; Actinomycetota; Actinomycetes.